RNAcentral lists this long non-coding RNA (340 nucleotides) under Macaca mulatta (Rhesus monkey). Its description in RNAcentral is "lncRNA (ENSMMUG00000044860.2)". The record is from RNAcentral. Lineage: Eukaryota; Metazoa; Chordata; Mammalia; Primates; Cercopithecidae.
CCAAGCGAGUAUGGAAAUUACAUGCAGUGCAGAUGCCAUUUUCAACGUCAGACGAAUAAUGCAGCUAUUUAAGAAAAACAAAGAUGUGCUUAGAAAUUGAUCACCCGUAUCUGCUCAAGAUUAGAGGAUGCACAGAGCCACGAAUCUUCAGCUUACAGGCACCGUGCAGAUCCACUUUUGGUUUAUGCAAGGUGAACACGGAGGUAGUAGGAGCAAAUACCAGCUCCCCAGAAAGCAUGGUAGAAACAGAAGGUAUUGGAGGUUCCAAGAUGGCCGAAUAGGAACAGCUUCAGUCUGCAGCUCCCAGAGUGAGUGACACAGAAGACGGAUGAUUUCUGCA